This 497-nucleotide ribosomal RNA is filed under the name uncultured bacterium. Its description in RNAcentral is "bacterial SSU rRNA". It matches the Rfam family "Bacterial small subunit ribosomal RNA", at positions 30 to 521 of the family's 1533-position model. The record is from RNAcentral.
AUUGAACGCUGGCGGCAUGCUUUACACAUGCAAGUCGAACGGUAACAGGUCUUCGGAUGCUGACGAGUGGCGAACGGGUGAGUAAUGUAUCGGAACGUGCCCAGUAGUGGGGGGAUAACUACUCGAAAGAGUGGCUAAUACCGCAUGAGAACUGAGGUUGAAAGCGGGGGGACCUUCGGGCCUCGCGCUACUGGAGCGGCCGAUAUCAGAUUAGGUAGUUGGUGGGGUAAAGGCCUACCAAGCCGACGAUCUGUAGCUGGUCUGAGAGGACGACCAGCCACACUGGGACUGAGACACGGCCCAGACUCCUACGGGAGGCAGCAGUGGGGAAUUUUGGACAAUGGACGCAAGUCUGAUCCAGCAAUGCCGCGUGCAGGACGAAGGCCUUCGGGUUGUAAACUGCUUUUGUACAGAACGAAAGGCUCUGGUUAAUACCUGGGGCUCAUGACGGUACUGUAAGAAUAAGCACCGGCUAACUACGUGCCAGCAGCCGCGGU